This 452-nucleotide ribosomal RNA is filed under the name uncultured Gammaproteobacteria bacterium. RNAcentral describes it as "bacterial SSU rRNA". It matches the Rfam family "Bacterial small subunit ribosomal RNA", at positions 1102 to 1533 of the family's 1533-position model. Lineage: Bacteria; Pseudomonadati; Pseudomonadota; Gammaproteobacteria. The record is from RNAcentral.
CCUUCGUCCUAGUUCGCCAGCGAGUCAAGUCGGGAACUCGUAGGGAGACUGCCGGUGAACAAACCGGAGGAAGGGUGGGGAUGACGUACAAGUCAUCAGUCGGCCCUUAUGAGCGAGGGCUACACACGUGCUAACAAGUGGGCCGGUAACGUAAAGGGUUGACCCAACCCGCGGAGGGGGCGCUAACUCCCAAAAAACCGGUCGUAGUCCAGAUUGGAGUCUGCAACUCGACUCCAUGAAGCCGGAAUCGCUAGUAAUCGCGGAUCAGAACGCCGCGGUGAAUACGUUCCCGGGCCUUGUACACACCGCCCGUCACACCAUGGGAGUCGGCUGCACCAGAAGUAGGUUGCCUAACCUUCGGGAGGGCGCUUACCACGGUGUGGUCGAUGACUGGGGUGAAGUCGUAACAAGGUAGCCGUAUCGGAAGGUGCGGCUGGAUCACCUCCUUUCUG